AACGAACGCUGGCGGCAUGCCUAACACAUGCAAGUCGAACGAGACCUUCGGGUCUAGUGGCGCACGGGUGCGUAACGCGUGGGAACCUGCCCUUAGGUUCGGAAUACCUCCCCGAAAGGGGUGCUAAUACCGGAUAAUGUCUUAGGACCAAAGAUUUAUUGCCUCUGGAUGGGCCUGCGUUGGUUUCGCUAGUUGGUAGGGUAAACGCCUGCCAAGGCGGCGAUCCAUAGCUGGUCUGUGAGGAUGAUCAGCCACACUGGGACAGGGACACGGCCCAGACGCCUACGGGAGGCAGCAAUGGUGAAGAUGUGACAAGGGGCGAAAGCCUGAUCCAGCAAGGCCGCGAGAGUGAUGAAGGCGUUAGGGUUGUAAAGCUCUUUUACCCGGGAUGAUAAGAAGGGAACCGGUAGAAAAGGCCCCGGCAAAUACCGU
This 432-nucleotide ribosomal RNA is filed under the name uncultured bacterium. RNAcentral's name for it is "partial 16S ribosomal RNA". It matches the Rfam family "Bacterial small subunit ribosomal RNA", at positions 29 to 506 of the family's 1533-position model. The record is from RNAcentral.